This 1107-nucleotide long non-coding RNA is filed under the name Homo sapiens (human). Its description in RNAcentral is "HSALNT0218605". The record is from RNAcentral. Lineage: Eukaryota; Metazoa; Chordata; Mammalia; Primates; Hominidae.
CUUCAAAUGACUGAAAUUCUUCAGAUGGUUUCUUGUGACCACUCGUAAAGAAAGUAUUUUUCUCCAGAGUCCAAAGGUAAAGUGGAGUCAGAAGAAGAACCAAACGCUGAUUCGAACAUCUGGUAGAUGGAUCAUAAUUACAGCAGAGUUGCUGGGCAGAUAAGGCUGAAGACACGUAGAAGAAAACAACUAUUGGGUGAAUUUUGUGAGCAUUGAAAUGACACAGCACAGGGGAGCUAUAAAGGGGAGUUAUGACUUUGUUCCUGUUUUUAAAUCCACACUUUGCUGGUUCAAGAAUUGCUUUAAGAUCAUACUUUUGAUCUUCCGUGCACUCCUGAAGUAGGAAAAACACUGACUAGAAGGUCAAAGUCAUAAUACUACUGUAUGGUUGAUUUGAGGGGACUUCCUAGCUGUCCACCCAGUGCAUGAAUUCUUCUCUGCAACAUCCAUAUGUAAUGGCUAUCUGUGUUUUCUUUUGACUUCCUUCAGUGAUGUGAAACUUACCCUGAAUGAGACCUUCUUCUCCUAGGAAUACAAAAAGUUAAUAAUAAUAAUAAUAAUAGUUAUUAUCAAUUUAGCAUUUAUUAAAUACCAGACAUUGGAAUACAACCUUUACCUGCAUGUCGUUUAAAUUCAUUCUAAGUAUUAUCAACCCAUUUUAGAGAUGAAGUAAUCAAGACAGCAUUAAGAAACUUCCACAAGAACAGAGAACUACUUGGUUCUGUAUGAUUCUAGAGGCUGCGCUCCUAAUCUGUGUAGAAUACCACUUCCUUCAAGUAUAUACACAUUUUUAGUCUUGCAGAAUAAGCUGAUUCCACACAGGUGUCAUCUUCACUUUCUCACCUCCUGUUCCACUCCUUCUCUUCCAGGAGGCAUUUUUAGCCCAGUUUAACAUUUCUAGUUGUCAGGGCUAUUUCUCAUAUGACUUAACUUCUAUUGCCUCCUCUCUUUCCCCUGAGUAUUCUCUUAAAAUCUCGCACUCAGAACAAAAUGUAAUAAUUUUGAAGAGGUCUGGCCACUUUUCCUGGAAGCUAUACUUCUAUUUACAUGGACUGAGAUGAAAUGACCUUUGGUCUUAGGUCAUAUUUUGGAAGUGCUAAGUUGUAU